ACGAACGCUGGCGGCGCGCUUAACACAUGCAAGUCGAACGGAAAGGCCUGCUUUCCCUUGUGGAUUGCGGGUACUCGAGUGGCGAACGGGUGAGUAACACGUGAGUGAUCUGCCCCCAACUUGGGUAUAAGCCUGGGAAACUGGGUCUAAUUCCCGAUAGGACUGCAGGGUGGUGCCUGUGGUGGAAAACGAUUUUCUAGUGGUUGGGGAUGAGCUCGCGGCCUAUCAGCUUGUUGGUGGGGUAAUGGCCUACCAAGGCGGCGACGGGUAGCCGGCCUGAGAGGGUGGACGGCCACAUUGGGACUGAGAUACGGCCCAGACUCCUACGGGAGGAAGCAGUGGGGAAUAAUGCACAAUGGGCGGAAGCCUGAUGCAGCGACGCCGCGUGGGGGAUGACGGCCUUCGGGUGGUAAACUCCUUUCGACAGCGAGGAAGCCACCUGGUUGGAAGGGUGGUGACGGUAGUGGUAGAAGAAGCACCGGCUAACUACGUG
RNAcentral lists this ribosomal RNA (493 nucleotides) under uncultured bacterium. Its description in RNAcentral is "partial 16S ribosomal RNA". It matches the Rfam family "Bacterial small subunit ribosomal RNA", at positions 29 to 507 of the family's 1533-position model. The record is from RNAcentral.